This 244-nucleotide ribosomal RNA is filed under the name uncultured bacterium. RNAcentral describes it as "partial small subunit ribosomal RNA". It matches the Rfam family "Bacterial small subunit ribosomal RNA", at positions 26 to 285 of the family's 1533-position model. The record is from RNAcentral.
AGAAUCAACGCUGGCGGCGUGCCUAACACAUGCAAGUCGAACGAGAAAGUGGAGCAAUCCAUGAGUAAAGUGGCGCACGGGUGAGUAACACGUGACUAACCUACCCUUGAGUGGGGGAUAACCUAGGGAAACCUGGGCUAAUACCGCAUAACACCUACGGGUCAAAGGAGCAAUUCGCUUAAGGAGGGGUCGCGGCAGAUUAGUUAGUUGGCGGGGUAAUGGCCCACCAAGACGGUGAUCUGUA